Eriocheir sinensis (Chinese mitten crab) is the source of this 1771-nucleotide long non-coding RNA. RefSeq lists it as uncharacterized. The record is from RefSeq and is a predicted model, not a curated record. NCBI's taxonomy places the organism in Eukaryota, Metazoa, Arthropoda, Malacostraca, Decapoda, Varunidae. The transcript has 3 exons.
AACAGUUCACACACAUCUGUAUUUACUACCGAUAACAAUACACCUGCCGCCCAAUUAGCACCUCCAAAUGUUCAACACCGAUCAUCACCGCCGCCAACACCAUCACCAUCACCACGGCCUCCUUCAUCACCACCACCACCACCAUCACCACGCUUCUCCUCCUCCUCCGUCAUUCCGAAUAUUAUCACCUUCGGGCUUCCACACCACCACCACCACCACCACCACAAUCACGACCUCCCUCCCUCAUCACCGCCUAGCAUCACAUUCACCACCACCACCACCACCACACAUACAUAUACAUUCUCUAUAUCCGAAACUGACUACCACAUUUAUGUCCACUCCUGUUAUUUUUUUUUUUUCAGAGGCAACAUUUAGCAUUUUUUUGUUUGAUGUUCUUUUCUUUGUUUAUUUAUUCCCCUUUGAGAUGUUUACUUUACUGCGAAAAUAAUAACAAAUAACAUCACACAUCCCAUACGUUCUACAUUCAUUCCCUUUCACUUCCCUACAUUACCACCUACGCCCAUACGCCCUAUACCCAAUCCUUCAAUUUCACCAACACACUAACCCAUAUCUCCCACACUCACACCCACACGCCCUCUCCCACGCCUCGCCUAACUUCUAACCCACGCCCCUUUCCCCACACUUACAUCCACACGCCUUCUCCCCGUUUAUCCCAUGCCCUCCACCCACGCCUUUUCCACACCCAAGGCCUCCGCACGCCCAGCCACGCCUCGCCUAACUUCCCGCCGCCACCCCUGUUCAAUUCGACACAAAAUUGGUACAUUUAUGCUAAUCGUGCCACGUAAUUCACAGGCUGCCUCUGCUGUUGCUGGCGCUGUGUCGUGAGUUCUGUUGAGACUCGUUUACCUGUGCUGUCUACCGAGGGAUCGCGCAGGUAAAGGUGGUGGGCGGACAGGUGAGAUUUCUUGGGUUUCCAUUUUUUCCAUUUGUUUUCUUGUUUUCUUGUAUAGGUUCAUAUUGCUUUCUUUUUUCUUGUUAAUUAAGGUCCAUAUUGCUUUCUUUUUUCUUGUUAAUUAAGGUCCAUAUUGCUUUCUUUUUUCUUGUUAAUUAAGGUCCAUAUUGCUUUCUUUUUUCUUGUUAAUUAAGGUCCAAAUUGCUUUCUUUUUUCUUGUUAAUUAAGGUCCAUAUUGCUUUCUUUUUUCUUGUUGAUUAAGGUCCAUAUUGCUUUCUUUUUUCUUGUUAAUUAAGGUCCAUAUUGCUUUCUUUUUUCUUGUUGAUUAAGGUCCAUAUUGCUUUCUUUUUUCUUGUUGAUUAAGGUCCAUAUUGCUUUCUUUUUUCUUGUUAAUUAAGGUCCAAAUUGCUUUCUUUUUUCUUGUUAAUUAAGGUCCAAAUUGCUUUCUUUUUUCUUGUUAAUUAAGGUCCAAAUUGCUUUCUUUUUUCUUGUUAAUUAAGGUCCAUAUUGCUUUCUUGCUCAGGUCCAUAUUGCCUUUUUUUCUUGUGAAGGUCCAUAUUGCUCCCUUUUUUAUCUUGCUCAAGGCCGCAAAGAUACUGCUUCUACAAGGGUGACCAAAAGUCUCAACAAAAGUGGUAGAAAUCGGAAUUUUAACUACCCACCAAAUCCAUUAUGAGCUUAUACUACUAAUGAUAAACCACACCUUAGUACGGACGAGGAUGAACUUAAAAAAAAUGAUUAUGCUAAAACCCAAAUAAAUAAUAAACAAAUAGAAAUAGCACAAAAAAAAGAGAAUAAGCGCCAUGGGUGUGAAAACUUGGGAUCCUCCAGAGAACACAAAUAUUUAUAGACACACCC